UUUUUGCUCAAAAGACCUAGCCGCCGUCCCCAACGAGUUCUUCCCCAAAUCGAACCCUCGAGAUCCCUCCUCCUCCACCGCCGCCGCCGCCGCUGACACUCCCUCUGCCCUCGACCGCGCCCUCCACCACCGACCCCUCUGCCCUCGAACGCGCCCUCCACCAUCGACUCCCUCCGCUGACCUGUGCGACCCCCACCCAUAUCGAUGACGCCGCUGCGUAGAGGUCAACCUCGCCUCCCUCCACACGCCUCUGGUUUCGCUCCCUUCGGCACCGCCACAAGGGCUGGUCAACGGGUCCGGUGCGUCGAGGUCGACGUCGCCUUGCUCCCCACCACGUCUCCCACCACCCUGACGACGAGCGCGGUGUCUGCUCCCCAAUACGCUAGUACAACAUGGUGCUCAGAUCUGUCAUGGAGGAAACGCGAUGCAGGUGCUACCAGUGAAAGGAUUGGGGAUUGGUUCUAGCAGUUGUAGGUUUGUUUGGAAUUCAUAAUGCUCAUGAUUUGCAAAGGCUAUCAGCCAGGUUAUUGUACACGUACUCUUGUAUUUCAUUUUCUUAUCUUAAUAAGUUAAUAUGCAUGUAUAUGUGCCUAUGAUUUGUAAAAUGUAAUGUUCUUCUAUCCAUCCAAUUUUAGCGAUGUGGACGGGUCUUUGUUUAUUCAGGUUCAGACAUUGCACAACUGAAGGCAAGUGUUUCACAGCUUGAGAAAGUUUACUCACUAAUGGCUGACUGUAUACAACUCUAGAAAGUUUCUUGUGCUAGCAUCUACAAGAACUAAAUUAUAGACAUGAGUGCUGAUUUGAUAUUGAAAAUUGCUCUACAAAAUUAACUACUUUUACUUCCCUGAUUUAUCAUCUAUCGAAUUGUUUCAUAGCAGUUCAGUGGUGCCCUAUCUGAAUUCUCAACCUGCAUGAAACAUUGCACUGGGCAGAAAAUAAUUGUAGAAAGGAAUGUCGUAAGUGGCUGGCACUGCCAUCAGGCUAUCACACACUGCACUUAAUUGGGCUUGUUGGACCAUGCAGGGCAUCUGCACCAGAUAAUAGAAGCCCUGCAAGGGUGGUUUGCUUGUGAGGAGGGGUUGAUUUUUUGAGUUGCAGCCUGAAUGAUAUGUAUCUUAUGAUACAGAGGAAAGAAAAACAAUAUGUUUCUUACCUUGUUGGUUGGUUGUCUACACGCACAUUUCCUAUGAACCAUGCCUUAAUAAUCGAACCGCCACUGUAAUCUCACAUCGUGAUCAGUCCUCACUUGAUGAAGUAGCAUACCAACAAGUUAGUUAAUUUUCUGAAGUUCCUGGAAUAAUUUUUUGACGCUGCCUGCUUCGGUACACUUUAUUCUUAACCAUUGGUUGAUCUAAGCUCUUUUUUUACAAGAACACGUCGAUGCAUAGCAUUAAACGCUUGCCGAAAAGAGUCCACAGCUCCUUGCACUCAAGCAUUAUAUUGUCUGACCUCCUAAGGGUCGUUGAGGAGUUGGCAUAUAAUAGCAGCGACACAAAUGAUUAAAAGAUCGAUGUUUCAGUAAAUGUCAGAGGAUGUUACAUUAAAGUGGAAGAUGAUGCUAUUGCAGGUUGGGGUAUUGCUUGAGAUGAAUUGUUUCUACUGGGAGAAAAAUAUGGCAAGUCAUAUCUUUGGGUGCUUUUCUGAAUUCAUGGAUAUCAGAAUGAGAUUGUUCUCAUAUAGAAAGGACUGCCUGAUUUGCUUCAUAAAAGUAAUAAUGGAACUGACAUCCAUUCUAUGAUAGUUGACCUCGAUAAUUGAUAUUUAAAGGAGAUAUUAUGCUUAUUCUACCUGGAAUUCUGAUUUCUUCUGCUAGUGUUUCUUUAUCUUGGGCAUCGAGGGUCUGGAGUGUGUUCAUGCUGCACAUCGGCGCAUCGUGUGAUUAUCAUGCGUUCUUCAGUGGGGUCGGACCUCAACAGGAGUAUGCAACUAUGAGCCGUGAUGAGUGCCCGCCUACUACGCCCACGGCAUGCCGUAUUGAGCGAGCCGUUACUUCCUUCUUUUCUUUUCCUUUUUGAUCGAAGUUCACCGCCUACAACGCCCACGAUAUGGCAUGUUGACCAUGCCCUUGCCGCUGUUUUUUCCCUUUGUGAAUGAACAUAGUUGCCACUGCUUUUUUCUAUGGGACGCUGCUCUUUUAUUUCCUGGAUAACCACGGACGCCGCUGUUUUGUUGUCACGCAAGCAGAGUUAAAAAUGAUCUCUUUUUAUCUACCGAACUAAUCAAGAGUUCAAGUCCAGGACAUCAUACAUCAAAAUUGGUGUGGGUCCGCCUUUCUAAUGGUCGUAAUUUACUCAUUAAUGGAGGGUCCACCAAACUAACGGUCCGAUGUGUCUAAUUAAUGUGAGAAUUUCUAGUAAAUCCUCUAUUCUUGAUCCCUAUUUUCCUUUUAGUAUAUAAUAGAUAGAUACCAUUGCAUAUUAGCGUGGGUGAGGUGUGGGCGGCUGUUUAUCUUGGUAGUUAAGUCUUGGAUUUAGUAUUUUGCUUUCGGAUACAUGCUUGUUGCUAUUUCAGAACAUUGAAACUUUAUUUAGAAAUUUGUUUCCUAUGUGCUUCAUGCAAAUGAAACUGCAGUAAAGAUACAAACUAUGCUUGUCCUGAAUGUGCAUAACCUUUUUAUGCAUACAAUUAGUGGAACCUUUUACAUGUCCAGUGUGCGCAUGUGUCCAGGAACUAAGCUUUUGCAUGUCCUGUGUAUUCUAAAGCUUAGUCUUUUGUUAUUGGGCAAGUACUUGAAACAGUGUCUUGGUUUGCCAGUCGUAGAAUCAUUUAUGAAUAGCAUAGGUGUUGCCUUCACUUGUAUUCCUACGCAUAGUCCAAUACUUCUUUUUCCUUGAUCUAAUGCUCCUUUUUCGUUAAGACAAGCAAAAUGGAAUCACAUCCUGGAUUAUCUCUAUGGUCCUGCAUCAUCUUUCAUAGACUAAUUAAGUUAUAACCGGAUUGCAUUGUUUAGGAGAAAUGUACCUUUCCAUGUGUAAAGUGGUUAGACCUGGCAUUACUGUUCAAUAUUUUGUACUCAACAGGAAUCUUGCUAUAGAUACACACUGGAAGUCUAAAAUCAAUACUAGUAGAAACAGGUGUUCUGUCAACGACGCAUCUAUUUUGUUGCAUGUCUCGGGCCACUCAAUUUGUGAUUAAAUAGGUGUUCUGCAUAUAUGUUUUCCAACUGAUUGACCAUGUAAGACUGGAAACAGCACCAUCUUUGUGACAUCUAACUUGUUCUAUUUUUUUUGCAGAAAGUGCUAGUACAUUGGAUAAGAACAUUGACACAUGUGACUGGGAGCCCAAAAGACUAGUAAUAAUGUUGUAAACCACUUCAACAUAACACCAAACAUUUUGGUUUCUAUACAACUGUCAUGUUUGUGCUAGAAAAAUGUUUGAGUUUUGCUGUUUUCCAUAGGAUGAAACUAUUUCAUAUCUUGAACUAGAUUCUUUGUGUGUUUAUACCAAAAUACAAGAUCCUAUGAUGUCAAAAAUUCAUACAAGUUGUGGAUGUCACUUCCUUUAAUCACUUCCUAUUUUAUCUUAUGUGCAGUUUUUUGGACGGUGUUCUAUGGAAUCUUCACAUACAGGAAACUAAAAUUUAUAUCAUAGGUUGGAAAUGUUCCUGAAGACGGGUUAAGAUACCUUGCCGUAACCAUAUGCUCUGAGCUCACCUAGAAGACCUUACAAGCUUUACUCUUUGUGCAUUUUCCAUUCUGUACAACUUGGACGUCUUGAAACUGCACAUACUAAAUUAUGAUGUAAUUCUUCACAUGUAAUCAGUGAAUUGCAUAUAUUGUAACCUUGUAAAUGUUUGAUGAACAGAAUUUAUAAUAUGAAUGUGAAGUACUUGUGCAGAUUC
Molecule: long non-coding RNA, 3841 nt
Organism: Triticum aestivum (bread wheat)
Lineage: Eukaryota; Viridiplantae; Streptophyta; Magnoliopsida; Poales; Poaceae
Exons: 5
Source: RefSeq, a predicted model, not a curated record